AUCCAGCUGACGGGUCCCAAAUAGGAUGAGACGCGCGUCCUGGAU
Non-coding RNA from Schistosoma rodhaini, 45 nucleotides. NCBI's taxonomy places the organism in Eukaryota, Metazoa, Platyhelminthes, Trematoda, Strigeidida, Schistosomatidae. The record is from Rfam.